Molecule: ribosomal RNA, 447 nt
Filed under: uncultured prokaryote
Description: bacterial SSU rRNA
Rfam family: Bacterial small subunit ribosomal RNA
Source: RNAcentral
UCGCGAAUCAUUCACAAUGGACGCAAGUCUGAUGAUGCCACGCCGCGUGUAGGAAGAAGGCUCUAGGGUUGUAAACUACUGUCAGGAGAGGGGAACCGCAUGCAUCGAAGAUGUGCAUGUCUGACUGCUUUCCAGAGGAAGCCCCGGCUAAACACGUGCCAGCAGCCGCGGUAAUACGUGUGGGGCAAGCGUUGUUCGGAAUUACUGGGCUUAAAGGGUGCGUAGGUGGCCUUGCAAGUCAGUGGUGAAAUCCCACGGCCCAACCGUGGAAUUGCCAUUGAUACUGCUUGGCUCGAGUGCGUGAGGGGUGAACGGAACGUGUGGUGUAGCGGUGAAAUGCGUAGAUAUCACACGGAAGGCCAGAGGCGAAGGCGGUUCACUGGCACGCAACUGACGCUGAGGCACGAAAGCGUGGGGAGCAAACAGGAUUAGAUACCCGCGUAGUCC